Molecule: ribosomal RNA, 253 nt
Filed under: uncultured bacterium
Lineage: Bacteria
Description: partial 16S ribosomal RNA
Rfam family: Bacterial small subunit ribosomal RNA
Source: RNAcentral
UACGGAGGGAGCUAGCGUUGUUCGGAAUUACUGGGCGUAAAGCGCACGUAGGCGGCUUUGUAAGUUAGAGGUGAAAGCCCGGGGCUCAACUCCGGAACUGCCUUUAAGACUGCAUCGCUUGAAUCCAGGAGAGGUGAGUGGAAUUCCGAGUGUAGAGGUGAAAUUCGUAGAUAUUCGGAAGAACACCAGUGGCGAAGGCGACUAACUGGACAUGUAUUGACGCUGAGGUGCGAAAGCGUGGGGAGCAAACAGG